Molecule: small nucleolar RNA, 145 nt
Organism: Dipodomys ordii (Ord's kangaroo rat)
Lineage: Eukaryota; Metazoa; Chordata; Mammalia; Rodentia; Heteromyidae
Source: Ensembl
AGUUGUGGUGGUUUCUUUCUGGCACAUUUGUUAAAUUUCAAAUGGGCCUGACUCUACCACAUAUAUUAUACUGGAGCUAGCAAAGGCUUGAAGACAGAGAAUUCUCUCGAGCAUUUUCCUACAUCAAAGAUUGGCUCCCACAUGU